UAUCAUUCGAGACUGUCUCAUGUGCUCGCAAAAAAUUAUUCUGACGUCACGGAGCGGACGGAUUAUCAUCGAAAACACUGUUAACCUAUAUAGGUAGAUGAACCCGACCUUUGCAGCUUCACUACGGCCACGGCCAAGGCUCCAUUGCCAUUAUUCUGUUUAUUAAGCCACCUAUCGAAAGUUGUUUAUAGCCUGCACCGCUUUCAUAUUCACCUCUUCUUGGAGCGGACUAAAGGGAGAAUUGGAUCAAAUCACUUUCAUCAAAGAAAUCGUCACUUUCAUCGACCUUGAAUAUGGACUAUAAACUCUGCGUCUGUCUGAGCCUCCUACUAUUUAUCUUAAUAACAACAAGUUGUGUUGGCGGAAAAGAAGUGUCAAAAGACUGGGAUUUUUUCAGCGCCGAUAAGUGCAAUAAAGGUUGCGAUAAUUUUUGUAGCGACGAAGCUUUGAGACGAAGCGGCUAUCGCGUUAAUUAUAAUUGCAAUGACACUGUUUGUUUUUGUAGGUUCACGUGUAAAACGUGUCCAUAGAUAUUCGUGGCGAAUAAAGAAAGUUGCUUAUUUUUCUCACGAUUGAGCUCUUGAGCUUUAUUGAAAAUAGAAUAUGAAUUUCAAAUUUUAUACUCAAUAAAUUUGUUCAAUAUCACGA
Molecule: non-coding RNA, 648 nt
Organism: Bemisia tabaci
Lineage: Eukaryota; Metazoa; Arthropoda; Insecta; Hemiptera; Aleyrodidae
Source: RefSeq, a predicted model, not a curated record